This 273-nucleotide ribosomal RNA is filed under the name uncultured bacterium. RNAcentral's name for it is "partial 16S ribosomal RNA". It matches the Rfam family "Bacterial small subunit ribosomal RNA", at positions 524 to 796 of the family's 1533-position model. The record is from RNAcentral.
UACGUAGGGGGCAAGCGUUAUCCGGAUUUACUGGGUGUAAAGGGAGCGUAGACGGAGCAGCAAGUCUGAUGUGAAAGGCAGGGGCUCAACCCCCGGACUGCAUUGGAAACUGUUGAUCUUGAGUACCGGAGAGGUAAGCGGAAUUCCUAGUGUAGCGGUGAAAUGCGUAGAUAUUAGGAGGAACACCAGUGGCGAAGGCGGCUUACUGGACGGUAACUGACGUUGAGGCUCGAAAGCGUGGGGAGCAAACAGGAUUAGAAACCCGAGUAGUCC